CGCCUUCUAAUCCGCUGCCCAUGCGCCUAUAUUGGGGGGGUCAGGGUCCGCCCUGACUAUGGAGAUAAACGCGCACGUCAUAAGCGGACUGGACCCGGGUGCGAUUCCCGGCGGCUCCACCAAUCUUCCUUUCCGGGUAUCGCCGGAGAGUGCGGGGCCGAUCAGCAUCGACAGACGUCUAAAGGUGUUGCUUUCUCUCGGCCUUGCCCACCGUUCCGGGCCUUAAACUAAAUGCGAACGAUAACUUCGCUGAAGAGGUUCGCCUCGCCGCGUAAUGUGGCGGGUCGUUUCUCGACCUAAAGCCCUGAUGUCUUAGCAGCGUCAGGCGGGGCUCGGAGGGGGCCUGGCAACAGAACCCCUCCACU
RNAcentral lists this transfer-messenger RNA (365 nucleotides) under Phenylobacterium sp. It matches the Rfam family "Alphaproteobacteria transfer-messenger RNA". Rfam says of the family: Bacterial tmRNA, also known as 10Sa RNA or SsrA, is named for its dual tRNA and mRNA-like properties. Lineage: Bacteria; Pseudomonadati; Pseudomonadota; Alphaproteobacteria; Caulobacterales; Caulobacteraceae. The record is from RNAcentral.